GACGAACCGUGCGAACGUUAUUCGGAAUCACUGGGCUUAAAGGGCGCGUAGGUGGUUGAUCAAGUCUGGGGUGAAAUCUUUCGGCUUAACCGGAAAAGUGCCCUGGAUACUGAUCAGCUGGAGGGAGGUAGGGGCAGUUGGAACUUCCAGUGGAGCGGUGAAAUGCGUUGAUAUUGGAAGGAACGCCGGUGGCGAAAGCGAACUGCUGGACCUCUUCUGACACUGAGGCGCGAAAGCUAGGGGAGCAAACGGG
Molecule: ribosomal RNA, 253 nt
Filed under: uncultured bacterium
Lineage: Bacteria
Description: partial 16S ribosomal RNA
Rfam family: Bacterial small subunit ribosomal RNA
Source: RNAcentral